AUCGGCUCCUGCACAUUGUAUUUCUAGUUUCAGUCCACCGCUGUUGCCCUUGCCCGAUAUAUAUCUCAAAAGUCGCAAGCCAAACAACUUAGAUAAUAUAUAUGAUACAAAGGUGAGUAGCACAAACUAAGCGUCUAAGCCAAAGAUAACACUAGCCAAUUAAGUAGUAACAAAAGACUGACAAAAUUUCCACUUCCAAGUGGUGAAUUCUAACAUAGCACCACUAAAACUUUUACAACUAUGAGAACUUCAUUUUUUUCUAUUUUUAGUUGAAUAUGAAAGAAAGUUGUAUAAAAAACAAUAUAAGUUGUACUGGUUGCUGGUGAUCUAAUCCGAGCAAUGAUGGCCGGUGACAGUCAUAUAUGACGGGCAAUAUGUUACAUACAGAAGAAGUACAGAAAUAGGUAUAAGAAUGGGCAAGUGGCACAUGAGUGAGGGGUGUUAUUAGGAGGGAAAACCUGUUAUAAGUCUGUUGAGAUAGUUAUUAGUACUUGGAGGGAAAAUUGUAAGCAGUUACGGCUGUUGGUAGUAGUUAAAGUAGUUAUGGAAUUGGAGGAAAAUCUGUUAGAGCAGUUAUGAAUUGGAG
Molecule: unclassified non-coding RNA, 586 nt
Filed under: Hevea brasiliensis (rubber tree)
Lineage: Eukaryota; Viridiplantae; Streptophyta; Magnoliopsida; Malpighiales; Euphorbiaceae
Source: RNAcentral